AAGAGAGAAAUAGAAGAGAAUAAAAAAAUGAAAAAAAAGGGAAAGUUAAAAAAACAUAAAAGGAAAAAAUGAAAUUGUUAAAAACGAAAAAAAUAUGAAGAUCGAAUGUAUACAUUGACCUAAAUUUUUUGUUUGAAAUGAUGAUUUAGCAUGCUAUGUUAGUUUAUCAUUAUAGUGUUAAUGAUAAUUAAUGGCUUAGUGAUUAAAAUGUUACAACGCAAUAAUGUAAAUGACUAAAACGUAACAUUUCAAAUAUAAGUGGCUAAAAUAUAACCUUAGAUAAAGAGAACUGACUAUUUUGGUUUGUUAGUUGGGUAUUUGUUGAAACAAGGGCAGCAAGCAUAAGCAAAACAAAAACAACAAGCAGAGAAAAAAGAAAAACGUUGACAAGAAUUGUAACUAAAGGAAUUCAACAUUAACCUUGUAUUCAAAUUGAAAUAUAUUGAAGUUAAAAUAUUUGCUUGACAGUUACCUAAACAAUUAACUACUUUCACUAAUUGACUAGUUUCAAACUUAAGAGAUACACAAAAGCAAAGCUGAAAACGUCAACUAUUACAUCCAUCAUAAUCAAAAGAUUUACUAACUUUGAUGUCAAGUUACAAACCAACUUGAUCAAAUUACAAAAAGACUAAAAACAAAAAGAACUAAGUUGCUUUUGGUUCAUUCUUGCUGCUGGCAAGCUGUCUGAGCUGCUGGUUGCUUGUUGCAUUGCAGGCCAAUGCUUAAGGCUUCUUUUGGAUUCAAACACAACACAGUGCGUUGAAAAUUUUUAUCUUGAUUUUCAAUCUCACUGCACCACAGUGAAUUGCUUGGCUGUUUGAAUGUCUUGCUUCCAGCACAAUGAGACGUUUUUGCUGCACCGGACAGCGUUAUCUCCACUGGUGCUAAAAGCUCCAGUCAGCUCCAGCACGGUGAGACGUUUCAAUGUACUGUGUUGUGUUUGAAUCCAAAGGAAGUCUAACACUCCUUCUUGGACUGUAGGCAACAAACACCAAUUAAAUCUCUUAAGAUUUCGAGCCUAGUUGUACCAAGAGGCUUUGUCAAAAUAUCAGCCAAUUGAUCUUGUGAACUACAAUGUAUGAGACUAACAUCUUUUGACUGCUCAGCCUCUCAAACAAAAUGAAACUUGAUUUUAAAAUGUUUAGUUUUGCCAUGAAAGAUUGGAUUCUUGGCUAUGGCAACUGCUGACUGAUUGUCCACCAUGAUUUCAGUAGGUUCAAGUUGUUCUUCAUUCAAAUCAAAUAGCAACUUUCUAAGCCAAAUGACUUGACUGAUAGCUGCUGCAGCUGCUAUGUAUUCUGCUUCAGCUGUUGACUAAGCAACUGUUUGCUGCUUCUUCGAACUCCAACAGAGAACUCCCGAGCCAAAUGUGAAGAAAUAGCCCGAGGUACUUCUCAUGUCAUCAACAGACCCAGCCCAGUAACUAUUUGAAUAACCAAUUAGCUUUAGCUCACUUUCUUUCUUGAACAUGACCCCAAACUUCAAAGUUACUUUGACAUACCUGAGUAUCCUCUUAGUUGCCUUGGAAUGAGAUGUGUUGCAACAAUGCAUGAAUCUCGACAACAAACCAACAAUAUGCAUAAGGUCAAGUUUGGUUGCUGUUAAAUAAAGCAAACAGCCAACUAAGCUUCUGUAUUCUUUCUCAUCAACUCUUUCUUGACUUCCAAAACUAGUCAGUUUCUCCCAUUGAGCCAGUAGUGUACUCACUUAUUUACAAUUUUCCAUAUGAAAUUUAGUGAGAAUUUUCAAGGAAAAAGCAUGCUGACUAAUAAAAAUGCCUUGAUCAGACUGGUUUACUUCCAUACCAAUGAAGUAAGUCAUGAUUCCCAAGUCUGUCAUGUCAAACAUUUCUUGCAUUUUUUCUUUGAACUCUUGAAUCAAAUCGACCCUGCUUCCAGUCACUAACAAAUCAUCCACAUAGAUUGAAACAAUCAACAAGGUUUCAUCUUUAGACUUUUUUUACAAAGAGAGUUGGCUCACUCAAGCUUUUCUCAAAAUCGAGCCUAGACAGGUAAGCAUCAAUCCUGUCAUACCAGGCUCAAGGUGCCUAUUUCAGGCCAUAAAAAGCUUUCUUCAGCCUGUAAACUUUGUCCUAUUCUCCUUGGACUUUAAAACCAUCAAGCUAUUCAACAUAUAUCUCUUCUUUAAGAAAACCAUUCAAAAAAGCUGACUUAACAUUAAGUUGAUGAAUUCUCUAUUGUUUUUGUGCAGCUAAAGCAAAUAAAAGCUUAAUGGUGUCUAGCCUUGCCACUGGAGCAAAUGUUUCUAUAAAGUCAAUGCAAAACUGCUAGCUAUACCCUUUCACCAUAAGCCUUGCCUUUUGUUUGUUUAAAGAGCCAUCAGCAUUGAAUUUGGCUCUAAAAACUCACUUGACACCUAUGACCUUCUUUUGGUCAGGUCUACCCACCAGAUCCCAAGUGUUAUUUUUGUUGAUUAUAUCAAUUUCAACUUCCAUGGCCUUCUUUCAGCACUUAUUUUUUUACAGCUUCUUCAUAGCUCGAAGGCUCAACUAUGGCCACAUUGCAUCUUUGAUAGAUGUCAGCAAUGGACCUGGUCCCUAUUACAGGAGAAUCAUCCACAUUUGAAUUGUUGAAUUCAUUUUCAGUUAAUUCUAAACUGCUGUCAAUCUGAUCUUCUUCAAACUGACCUGUAUCUGAACCAUCCAUGCUCCAAAACUUUUCUUUAUUAAAUUUGACAUCCCUACUCACCAGAAUCUGUUUGGUAGAGGGAUCAAUUAUCCUGUAACCCUUCUUGAUGCUGCUGUAGCCAACAAACAUACCUGAAAUUGACCUCUUCUCAAACUUAAUCCUUCUUUCUGCAGGUACAAGAGCAUAACACACACAUCCAAAUACUUUCAAAUGAGAAACAAAUGGCUUGAGUCCAUGCCAUGCUUCAAAAGGAGUUUUAUCCUUCAUAGCACAUGUUGGUAGCCUAUUGAGCAGGUACACAGAGGUAUUGACACUUUCAGCCCAAAAUGUGCUUGAGAGUUUGCUUUGAAACAACAAACACCUAGCCAUGUUCACCACUGUUCUGUUCUUUCUUUCACACACUCUAUUUUGCUAAGAGUGUACACUAUGGUUAACUGAUGAUGGAUCUCAGCCUGCUCACAUAGUCUGUCCUCAAGGCUUUAAUUUUGUAGCCUGUUUGAUUUUAAACUAAAGCCUUGAACUUUUCAAAGACUUCAAACACUUCUGACUUCUGUUUCAUGAAAUAAACCCAACAAAAUCUGGUUAGAUCAUCAAUAAAUAGCACAUAGUACUUGCUGCCAUUUAGUGAAGGGGUCUUCAUUGGUCUAUAAGCAUCAAAGCGUACCAAUUCAAGCUUUUCUCGAGCCCUCCAUGCCUGGUUAACUGGAAAAGGCAGCCUAGCCUGCUUACCAAGCUGGCACACUUCACAAACAGCCUCACUUGCCUCGACCUUGGUCAUGUCCUCUGCCAAAUUCAGCUUGUGCAACAAAUCAAGUGACCUGAAAUUGACAUGGGCUAAUCUUUUAUGCCAUAGGCUGGUAUUUUUAGUUAAGCUUGUAUAAGCUUUCUUCUCAAGCUUGCUUACAUCAAGCAUAAAUCAAUUGUCUGCCACAGGCACUGAGAUUAUUUUUAGACCAUGAAAAUCUUCAAUAAUACAAGAACCAUUCUUGAAAACUAGUGAAUAACCUUUUUCAACCAACUGGCCUACACUAAGUAGGUUCUGAUCUAUAUCAGGCACAUAAAGCACAUCUGAAAUAACUUUGUUACCUGAGCCAAUGUUGAUCACCACAUCACCUCUGCCUUUGGCUUCAAUCAGGUUCCCAUUACCUAUCCUGACUUUCGAGGUGAAGCUUCUGUCAAGAUUUUUGAACAAGCUUUCAUCAGCUGCCAUGUGAUGUGAACAACCACUAUCCACAAGCUAAUUGUAUUUGACUUUACUUGUGGUUGCAAAAUAUGAGGCAGUAAAGAUAUGCUUCUCCUGAGCUUGUAGAUCCUCAACAGUCUUGGCUUGUAUAUUGUGCCUUUUCUUGAUUUUUACAAAUCUUCUCAUGAUGGUCAUACUACUUACAGCUUUUGCACUGGAUAUCUGGUCUGUUCCAGCAGCAUUUUUCCAAAUGAUUAGUUUUCUUGCAGUGAAUGCAUGGUGGGAACCUCCUUCUUAAUGUGUCUCUUCUUGAUUUCUCCCUUUUGUCAAACCAAGGCUUCUUUGCUUUCUGACUUGAGCUUGAGCCCUCUCUGGCUUUUGCUUAAAAGGCUCAUUCAGGAUGCUCCUCUUGCCUAUUAACCCUCCUCUGCUCAAGUGCAUAAAGAAAGUUCACCAAUUCAGACAAAGAAAUGGUUGUGAGGUCCUUCGAGUCCUCUAAUGAGGAGAUUUUGGACUCGAACCUCUUAGGGAGAGUGGUGAUAACCUUCUCGACGACCCUGCUAUCACUGAAGUCUUCUCCUAGGAGCCUAAUGUUGUUAACAGUGGCCAUGGUCCUAUCAGAGUACUGUUUAAUAGUCUCUGAUUCUUUCAUUUUUAAAUUCUCAAACUCCCUUCUAAGGUUAAUUACUUGUUGCUGCAUUGUCUUAUUUGAUCCCAUAAACUCCUCCUUCAGCCUCUCCCAUGCUUGCUUAGGUGAAUCACAGGCCAUAAUCUGAGUGAAGAUCACAUCAGACACUUCAUUCUGCAGGCAAGCCAUUACUUUGUGCUUCUUGGCUCGCUCCUCACUGUACUGCCUAAUAUGUGCAAUGGUUGGAUUUACCCUUAAUGGAGGUGGUUCAACAUCACUUUCAACUACACUCCACAAGUCAUGUGCUUGGAGGUAAGUUUUCAUUUUAACUACCUAAAUGUGGUAGUUCUCUCCAACAAACACUGAUGGUGGAUAUGGUGUAAAACUCAUGCUACUGAAACAAUUUUAACAAAACUCGAUUUCUAUAUUUUCAAGUUUGUUUUAAAUAGUAAAAACUCAAACAACAAUGAAGGUCCUCAAAGACAAGAGGCUUUGAUUACCAUUUGUUGAAACAAGGGCAGCAAGCAUAAGCAAAACAAAAACAACAAGCAGAGAAAUAAGAAAAAUGUUGACAAGAAUUGUAACUGAAGGAAUUCAACAUUAACCUUGUAUUGAAAUUGAAAUGUAUUGAAGUUACAAUAUUUGCUUGACAGUUUACCUAAACAAUUAACUACUCCCACUAAUUGACUAAUUUCAAA
Molecule: long non-coding RNA, 5157 nt
Filed under: Gossypium barbadense (sea-island cotton)
Lineage: Eukaryota; Viridiplantae; Streptophyta; Magnoliopsida; Malvales; Malvaceae
Description: long non-coding RNA (GBAR_LNC022419)
Source: RNAcentral